UAGUAGUGGUGUAUUACAGGGAUGGGUAGGGUCAGAGGUCAGAGUCUUAGUAAUGGUGUAUUACAGGGAUGGGUAGGGUCAGGGGUCAGAGUUAGUGUUGUUGACCACAUGCAGUUCCUUGAUGUGGGAUUUAAGCUGUGUCCACUACCUGUUAGAUAGAUGGGUGUUGGAGGUAGCUUACAUGUUCUCUCAGGACUACCUGUCGUGAUGUUCCUGGAGAUGGGACUUAAGCUGUGUCCACUACCUGUUAGAUAGAUGGGUGUUGGAGGUAGCUUACAUGUUCUCUCAGGACUACCUGUCGUGAUGUUCCUGGAGAUGGGACUUAACCUGUGUCCACUACCUGUUAGAUAGAUGUGAUUUAAAAUGCGUCCACUACCUGUUAGAUAGAUGGAAUUUCAAAUUAGAACAUAACAGAAUAUUCGACAAUAUCAGUUGACAGAACAGUUACGGUCUGCUAAUUUAGCUCCACUCACCUGGAGAACAGUUACGGUCUGCUAAUUUAGCUCCACUCACCUGGAGAACAGUUACGGUCUGCUAAUUUAGCUCCACUCACCUGGAGAACAGUUACAGUCUGCUAAUUUAGCUCCACUCACCUGGAGAACAGUUACGGUCUGCUAAUUUACUCCACUCACCAGUCCAUCUAUACCGGGCCUGUCAUCAUACAGUCCAUCUAUACCAAGCCUGUCCAUUCACAGUGCCUCCCAUGCUAGACGUGUUACUGUCUGAAUAGAGAAUGACCCAGUCCUCUGCUAGAUGUGUUACUGUCUGAAUAGAGAAUGAUCCCUAGCCAGUAAGUUAGUUUCUUCAGGGUCCAGGCCUGUUCCAGUCAGAUACACACCCAGUCAAUCAGUCUAGAAAGGAAGACAGACUACAUCACAAUCCUCCUGACCCAUGUUACUAUUCAUUCUCUUAGCUUACAAUCCCUCCCUCUCCUUAACUUUAUCAAGUGCAAUUGUACUCUGUUUUUAUAUGUAUUCUAACUACCUUCACAGAACUAUUUUAAGGACUAGCUAAUUAAAUAAGGACCGCGUUCUCAGUCUCAACAUUGGAGUGAGUUGAGAUUUGCUUAACGCUUAGUACCAUGCUGACCUAAUCCACAGCACUGGAGACUAACGCUCUGUGUCUGUCUCAGUAUGACUGGAGUCUCUUCUGACAAGUCCUCUUGUCUGCUUAGAGCAAAAAUGGUUUUCAUUCGCAAUACCACAGAGACCUGUCUUAGUUGAGUCAGAGACACAGAGCCAUAACUGAGGGUGAUUGAUAUCCUACAGAAUAAGACUGAAGAUGCCAUAACUACAGGUCUUAAUGGGCGGUGUUUGGAAACAGACACUGAUUGGUCUACGGUGUAGCUAUCAGUCCUUAAAGGGUUCUAGGGGGUUAUUAUUGAAGAUGUUUGUGAUAUUAACUUAGUAGCACAUAAGAUGCCACACUAUCUGCAUGUGUUAGGAUGUCCUUUUAAUAUAUAUAUCUAUGAUAUAUUCUGAUACUAUUGCCUUUCACCAAACUGGUAUAACCAAGAGAAAAUUAUCACAUUUAUUUUACAAAACUGGUGAGAAUUGAAGUACCUCAGACACCACUAGAGUAUUUUUGUAAUGCUGUGAAUUGAACAGAGAAAAAGCUAAGAGUCAAUCUUUUUCUCACACAAUUGAAUAAAUAAGCAAAACAGAGAAAUGUUGUGAGACGUGAUGUUUCUCUGGUCCAGCAGUGCCUUGGCCCGUUACUAUACGGCUAAGAAAUAAUCCUGUUCAGAGCUCCAGCCCCCUCUAGUCUACAUUCUACUGCUACUGUACAUGACGGGGCUGGAGGCUGAGGAACCGUCCUGAAACGGUAUUUGGUGAAAGGAACCGUCCUGAAACAGCCUGGGUCUAUUUGGACCAUCAUGCCACUCCUUGCCGGUUUGGCAUGACAAGGAGUUGAGAUGAUGACAAACAGAUCUGGGACCAGCUAUCUUAAACAGUGUUGGUGAAAGGACUGAAUCAAUGGAAUUGUUCUUUAAGCAAUGUGUUACUCAGCCAAAGGGGGCAGUAAGCCCCAGGGGAAGGGGAGGUCACUCGAGGGCUCACACCGUUUCAACUAGUAAAUACAUGAUACAAAGCCACAAUGAUUCUGAAUGGAAACCGGGGUCCUCGUGGUUCUGGUUUCAAAGCUGUUGUCAAAAAUGAGGAUGAUGAGUUAGUGGUUAAAGUAGAGCAGCCUACCCUGUCCUAAUGGUUAACUUAGUGGUUAAAGUAGAGUAGCCUACCCUGUCCUAGUGGUUAACUUAGUGGUUAAAGUAGAGCAGCCUACCCUGUCCUAGUGGUUAAAGUAGAGCAGCUUCCCUGUACUAGUGGUUAACUUAGUGGUUAAAGUAGAGCAGCCUACCCUGUCCUAAUGGUUAACUUA
Molecule: long non-coding RNA, 2379 nt
Organism: Oncorhynchus tshawytscha (Chinook salmon)
Lineage: Eukaryota; Metazoa; Chordata; Actinopteri; Salmoniformes; Salmonidae
Source: Ensembl